CUAGAGAUAGGAAAUUCCCUUCGGGGCUUUUCUACAAAGGUGCUGCAUGGCUGUCGUCAGCUUUGUGCCGUGAGGUGUCGGGUUAAGUCCCAUAACGAGCGCAACCUUAUCGUUAGUUGCCAUCUGGUAAAGCAGGGGACUCUAGCGAAACUGCCACCGUAAGGUGAGAGGAAGGUGGGAUGAUGUCAAAUCAGCACGGCCCUUAUGUCCAGGGCUACACACGUGUUACAAUGGUCGGUACAGAGGGCAGCUACCUGGUGACAAGAUGCUAAUCUCGAAAACCGGCCUCAGUUCGGAUCGAAGUCUGCAACUCGACUUCGUGAAGCUGGAUUCGCUAGUAAUCGCGCAUCAGCCAUGGCGCGGUGAAUACGUUCCCGGGCCUU
RNAcentral lists this ribosomal RNA (383 nucleotides) under uncultured Sphingobacteriales bacterium. RNAcentral's name for it is "bacterial SSU rRNA". It matches the Rfam family "Bacterial small subunit ribosomal RNA", at positions 1000 to 1382 of the family's 1533-position model. Lineage: Bacteria; Pseudomonadati; Bacteroidota; Sphingobacteriia; Sphingobacteriales. The record is from RNAcentral.